RNAcentral lists this unclassified non-coding RNA (252 nucleotides) under Glomus sp. Its description in RNAcentral is "partial contains 5.8S ribosomal RNA and internal transcribed spacer 2". The record is from RNAcentral. Lineage: Eukaryota; Fungi; Glomeromycota; Glomeromycetes; Glomerales; Glomeraceae.
GUGAAUCAUCGAAUUUUUGAACGCAAAUUGCACUCCCCUCGGAGAGCAUGACUGUUUGAGGGUCAGCCUCUGAAAAUUCGACAUCGUUGCUGUUUUGCGGACGCGUUCGUCGGCAAUUGGGUUAUCUUAAAUCUCUUGGUUUUAAGCGACUUAAAAUUUUCUUUUUGGUUGAAUGAACGUUUCUAAGAUCUAUUUCUUUACACGUUUAAGGUAUCGAUUUUUAUUAGAUGUGACUAUCAUUUCGGAUUGCGU